GCCACAUGAUGCUUAUAGAGAAAUGAAAGUUUUUAUGAUUACUCACUAUCUAUCACCCUUGACUGAUGGCA
Molecule: small nucleolar RNA, 71 nt
Organism: Anneissia japonica
Lineage: Eukaryota; Metazoa; Echinodermata; Crinoidea; Comatulida; Comatulidae
Product: small nucleolar RNA SNORD83
Exons: 1
Source: RefSeq, a predicted model, not a curated record